This 511-nucleotide ribosomal RNA is filed under the name uncultured bacterium. RNAcentral describes it as "partial 16S ribosomal RNA". It matches the Rfam family "Bacterial small subunit ribosomal RNA", at positions 28 to 507 of the family's 1533-position model. The record is from RNAcentral.
GACAAACGCUGGCGGCAUGCCUAACACAUGCAAGUCGAACGGACAGACCAGGGAAGCUUUUCGGAGUGGAGCUGGAAAGUUAGUGGCGGAUGGGUGAGUAACGCGUGGACAACCUACCUUGUAAAGGGGAAUAACCUCGAGAAAUCGAAGCUAAUACCCCAUAAUAACCUUGCUUCGCAUGAAGUAAGGAGGAAAGGCGGCCUUAGCGCUGUCGAUACAAGAUGGGUCCGCGUCUGAUUAGCUAGUUGGUGAGGUAAAGGCUCACCAAGGCGACGAUCAGUAGCCGGCCUGAGAGGGUGAACGGCCACAUUGGGACUGAGACACGGCCCAAACUCCUACGGGAGGCAGCAGUGGGGAAUCUUCCGCAAUGGGCGAAAGCCUGACGGAGCAAUGCCGCGUGAGUGAAGAAGGCCUUCGGGUUGUAAAACUCUGUCCUUAUCGAAGAGAGAGUGUUGUAGUAACUGACAAUACUAGGACGGUAGAUGAGGAGGAAGCCCCGGCUAACUAUGUG